Molecule: non-coding RNA, 31 nt
Filed under: Mus musculus (house mouse)
Lineage: Eukaryota; Metazoa; Chordata; Mammalia; Rodentia; Muridae
Source: RNAcentral
UGUGAUGCAUACGACGGUGUCUGCUGGUGUC